CUGGAGACAGGUGCUGCAUGGCUGUCGUCAGCUCGUGUCGUGAGAUGUUGGGUUAAGUCCCGCAACGAGCGCAACCCUUGCCUUUAGUUGCCAGCAGUUCGGCUGGGCACUCUAAAGGGACUGCCGGUGUUAAACCGGAGGAAGGUGGGGAUGACGUCAAGUCCUCAUGGCCUUUAUGACCAGGGCUACACACGUACUACAAUGGCCGAUACAAAGGGCAGCGACACUGCGAGGUGAGGCCAAUCCCGUAAAAUCGGUCUCAGUCCGGAUUGGAGUCUGCAACUCGACUCCAUGAAGUUGGAAUCGCUAGUAAUCGUGGAUCAGCAUGCCACGGUGAAUACGUUCCCGGGCCUU
This 354-nucleotide ribosomal RNA is filed under the name uncultured Desulfobulbus sp. RNAcentral describes it as "bacterial SSU rRNA". It matches the Rfam family "Bacterial small subunit ribosomal RNA", at positions 1028 to 1382 of the family's 1533-position model. Lineage: Bacteria; Pseudomonadati; Thermodesulfobacteriota; Desulfobulbia; Desulfobulbales; Desulfobulbaceae. The record is from RNAcentral.